GAGUUUGAUCCUGGCUCAGGAUGAACGCUGGCGGCGUGCCUAAUACAUGCAAGUCGAACGAGGUGCUUUUGUAGCAAUACGAAAGUAUCCUAGUGGCGAACGGGUGAGUAACGCGUUGGUGACCUGCCCCAAAGUGUGGGAUAACAGUCCGAAAGGACUGCUAAUACCGCAUGUGGUUAUUGGCUUUAGAAACCGGUAACUAAAGGAGCAAUCCGCUUUGGGAGGGACCUGCGUCCCAUCAGCUAGUUGGUGAGGUAAUGGCUCACCAAGGCUACGACGGGUAGGGGACCUGAGAGGGUGACCCCCCACAAUGGAACUGAAACACGGUCCAUACACCUACGGGUGGCAGCAGUAGGGAAUAUUGCUCAAUGGGCGAAAGCCUGAAGCAGCAACGCCGCGUGUGUGAUGAAGGCCUUCGGGUCGUAAAGCACUUUUCUGGGAGAUGAGAAAGGACAGUAUCCCAGGAAUAAGUCUCGGCUAACUACGUGCCAGCAGCCGCGGUAAAACGUAGGAGGCAAGCGUUAUCCGGAUUCACUGGGCGUAAAGCGCGUGCAGGCGGCGCGGUAAGUUGGGUGUGAAAUCUCCCGGCUCAACUGGGAGAGGUCAUUCAAUACUACCGUGCUUGAGAGCAGAAGAGGAAGAUGGAAUUCCCGGUGUAGUGGUGAAAUGCGUAGAUAUCGGGAGGAACACCAGUGGCGAAGGCGAUCUUCUGGUCUGUUUCUGACGCUCAGACGCGACAGCUAGGGUAGUAAACGGGAUUAGAGACCCCGGUAAUCCUAGCCGUAAACGAUGUGAACUUG
RNAcentral lists this ribosomal RNA (800 nucleotides) under uncultured Chloroflexota bacterium. Its description in RNAcentral is "bacterial SSU rRNA". It matches the Rfam family "Bacterial small subunit ribosomal RNA", at positions 9 to 819 of the family's 1533-position model. Lineage: Bacteria; Bacillati; Chloroflexota. The record is from RNAcentral.